UACGAAGGGGGCAAGCGUUGUUCGGAAUCACUAGGCGUAAAGCGCAGGUAGGCGGUUUGGUAAGUCUUUUGUGAAAGCUCCCGGCUCAACUGGGAGAGGCCAAAGGAAACUGCCAGGCUAGAGUGUGGCAGAGGAAGCUGGAAUUCCCGGUGUAGCGGUGAAAUGCGUAGAUAUCGGGAGGAAUACCUAUGGCGAAAGCAGGCUUCUGGGCCAUCACUGACGCUGAUCUGCGAAAGCUAGGGGAGCAAACAGG
RNAcentral lists this ribosomal RNA (253 nucleotides) under uncultured bacterium. RNAcentral describes it as "partial 16S ribosomal RNA". It matches the Rfam family "Bacterial small subunit ribosomal RNA", at positions 524 to 776 of the family's 1533-position model. The record is from RNAcentral.